UUUGCUUAUUUUUUGUUUUGAUACUUAGACGACACGGUUUAGCAAGAAUUUUGAAGUUUGGCCAUCGACGGGCGCGGGCCAGAGGGCGAAUAAACGACCCCCCGGCGGUUGGUUACCCAACGGGCCCGCCGAAGCAACAUGGUAAGGUAGACACAGGGUUGGAGAUGGGGCCCCGAAGGACCCAAACUCGAUAAUGAUCCUUCCGCAGGUUCACCUACGGAAA
RNAcentral lists this unclassified non-coding RNA (223 nucleotides) under uncultured fungus. Its description in RNAcentral is "sequence contains ITS1". Lineage: Eukaryota; Fungi. The record is from RNAcentral.